CAAGCCCUCCCAGGGGGCAAGGCCCUUGAAGUGGCUCUAUUUUUCAUCUUCUCCCCCAGGACAGGGACCUCUCAAAGGUCAGGGCUUAUCAUCAAGAACCUUCAGGAGGAGCUGCGCUCCCUCUGAAACUUCCCUUCUCAUUUCCCUUCCAUUCUGCAGACUGGCUGAUGUUUGCUGGUCUUUUGAGAAAUGUCAAGAGAUCACUGCAGAAGGGUCCCUGGGAGGUGCAGAAGGGUCCCUGGGAGGUGCAGAAGGGUCCCUGGGAGGUACAGACAGGUCCCUGGGAGGCUUGGGGCAGAAGGUUCUCCUCAGAGAAGGAAUAUACUUCCUGGCAGCUCUUGCCCAGAUGGCCUCCCCCUCUGUACUCAUUUCUCUUUUGAUUAAAAACAAACAAAUAAACCACAA
Long non-coding RNA from Vombatus ursinus (common wombat), 405 nucleotides. RefSeq lists it as uncharacterized. The transcript is spliced from 2 exons. The record is from RefSeq and is a predicted model, not a curated record. NCBI's taxonomy places the organism in Eukaryota, Metazoa, Chordata, Mammalia, Diprotodontia, Vombatidae.